CUGUGAAGGUGAGUUGAGAAGCUUGCUGGAGGUAUCAGAAGUGCGAAUGCUGACAUGAGUAACGACAAUGGGAGUGAAAAACUCCCACGCCGAAAGACCAAGGGUUCCUGCGCAACGUUAAUCGACGCAGGGUGAGUCGGUCCCUAAGGCGAGGCUGAAGAGCGUAGUCGAUGGGAAACGGGUUAAUAUUCCCGUACUUCUAGUUACUGCGAUGGGGGGA
Molecule: ribosomal RNA, 220 nt
Filed under: Prymnesium parvum
Lineage: Eukaryota; Haptophyta; Prymnesiales; Prymnesiaceae
Description: partial Bacterial large subunit ribosomal RNA
Rfam family: Bacterial large subunit ribosomal RNA
Source: RNAcentral